This is a long non-coding RNA of Sorex araneus (European shrew), 286 nucleotides long. RefSeq lists it as uncharacterized. NCBI's taxonomy places the organism in Eukaryota, Metazoa, Chordata, Mammalia, Eulipotyphla, Soricidae. The record is from RefSeq and is a predicted model, not a curated record. The transcript has 3 exons.
CUGGAAUACACUAGACCUUUGCAGAGCUAGAUCUGAAUGAAAUUUCAACAUGUAGCAGUGGAAACCGAAGGAAGAGAACAGAGACGCCACUUCCUGUCCAGCCCAUGAUCAACUGUGGCUGAGUCUUGGAGCAGCUUUGGUCUGGGUCUGGGCAGACAGACGACGGCUUUCCUGGGAGUUGAGCCUUCGGAGCUUUCACCAGAAGAUCUAAGCUUCGAACCCUGGCAAUCACACUUUGGUUUCCACACCUCUAACUACGGUAGCUGCCUCAGACUGUCGAUCUGGG